CCUACGGGUGGCAGCAGUGAGGAAUAUUGGUCAAUGGACGAGAGUCUGAACCAGCCAAGUAGCGUGAAGGAUGACUGCCCUAUGGGUUGUAAACUUCUUUUAUAUGGGAAUAAAACGUUCCACGUGUGGGAUUUUGUAUGUACCAUAUGAAUAAGGAUCGGCUAACUCCGUGCCAGCAGCCGCGGUAAUACGGAGGAUCCGAGCGUUAUCCGGAUUUAUUGGGUUUAAAGGGAGCGUAGGUGGAUUGUUAAGUCAGUUGUGAAAGUUUGCGGCUCAACCGUAAAAUUGCAGUUGAAACUGGCAGUCUUGAGUACAGUAGAGGUGGGCGGAAUUCGAGGUGUAGCGGUGAAAUGCUUAGAUAUCACGAAGAACUCCGAUUGCGAAGGCAGUUCACUGGACUGCAACUGACACUGAGGCUCGAAAGUGUGGGUAUCAAACAGGAUUAGAUACCCCAGUAGUC
Molecule: ribosomal RNA, 460 nt
Filed under: uncultured bacterium
Lineage: Bacteria
Description: partial 16S ribosomal RNA
Rfam family: Bacterial small subunit ribosomal RNA
Source: RNAcentral